This 631-nucleotide long non-coding RNA is filed under the name Homo sapiens (human). Its description in RNAcentral is "HSALNT0363902". The record is from RNAcentral. Lineage: Eukaryota; Metazoa; Chordata; Mammalia; Primates; Hominidae.
CACGUAGCGGCCAAGAUGGCGCUAGCGGUUGGAGCAGGGGCUCUGCUGCGACCUUUACGGUAGUGAGGUUAGGGACGAUGGGAGAGCAGCUUUGUUCCUGAAGUGCCGUCGAGGAUUAGGAUCGAGUUUCUUCGAUCGUGAGGGCAAUUAUUAGUGGCCUCUAGCCCCCCAGAUGGCAUCUUGAGGAGAGAGAAUCCACGCUACGAGAACUAACAUAGUGGACAUCGCAGUUGUCCGUAGCCGAUUUGCGGGUUACGGAGUUGUUGCAAGUAAAGAAGGGGAAAUCCGAGCGUUCUCGCGUUGGAUUUCCUCCACGUGUGAAGUGGGAAUGGUAGUGAUAUCUCGUGCUAUCUCUGUCAAGGGCAAGAAGGAGAAGGAAUUUAUUUGAGGCCCUACGACGUGGUAGGUUCACCCUCAGCCUUUGUUCUUAUUUCAUCUUAUUUGUGGAGAAGGUCUUUUCGUUCCUAUUUUACAGAACUGCCGGGCACAGUGGCUCACUCCUGUAAUCACAACACUUUGAGAUGCCGAGUCGGGAGGAUCAUGAGGUGAGGAGUUUGAGACCAGCCUGGCCAACGUAGCGAAACCCCGCCUCUACUAAAAAUACAAAAAAACAGCCAGGCGUGGUGGCGGG